CGAGCGGCGAACGGGUGAGUAACACGUGGGUAACCUGCCCUGUACUCUGGGAUAAGCCUGGGAAACUAGGUCUAAUACCGGAUAUGACCUGCCUCCGCAUGGUGGUGGGUGGAAAGUUCCGGCGGUACGGGAUGGACCCGCGGCCUAUCAGCUUGUUGGUGGGGUAGUGGCCUACCAAGGCGACGACGGGUAGCCGGCCUGAGAGGGUGACCGGCCACACUGGGACUGAGACACGGCCCAGACUCCUACGGGAGGCAGCAGUGGGGAAUAUUGCACAAUGGGCGAAAGCCUGAUGCAGCGACGCCGCGUGAGGGAUGACGGCCUUCGGGUUGUAAACCUCUUUCAGCGGGGACGAAGGGUGACUGACGGUACCCGCAGAAGAAGCACCGGCUAACUACGUGCCAGCAGCCGCGGUAAUACGUAGGGUGCGAGCGUUGUCCGGAAUUAUUGGGCGUAAAGAGCUCGUAGGCGGUUUGUUGCGUCGGCUGUGAAAACUUCACGCUUAACGUGGAGCCUGCAGUCGAUACGGGCAGACUUGAGUUCGGCAGGGGAGACUGGAAUUCCUGGUGUAGCGGUGAAAUGCGCAGAUAUCAGGAGGAACACCGGUGGCGAAGGCGGGUCUCUGGGCCGAUACUGACGC
Molecule: ribosomal RNA, 640 nt
Filed under: Saccharothrix sp. I12A-02995
Lineage: Bacteria; Bacillati; Actinomycetota; Actinomycetes; Pseudonocardiales; Pseudonocardiaceae
Description: bacterial SSU rRNA
Rfam family: Bacterial small subunit ribosomal RNA
Source: RNAcentral